RNAcentral lists this ribosomal RNA (253 nucleotides) under uncultured bacterium. Its description in RNAcentral is "partial 16S ribosomal RNA". It matches the Rfam family "Bacterial small subunit ribosomal RNA", at positions 524 to 776 of the family's 1533-position model. The record is from RNAcentral.
UACGUAGGGUGCAAGCGUUAAUCGGAAUUACUGGGCGUAAAGCGUGCGCAGGCGGUAAUGUAAGACAGUUGUGAAAUCCCCGGGCUCAACCUGGGAACUGCAUCUGUGACUGCAUUGCUGGAGUACGGCAGAGGGGGAUGGAAUUCCGCGUGUAGCAGUGAAAUGCGUAGAGAUGCGGAGGAACACCGAUGGCGAAGGCAAUCCCCUGGGCCUGUACUGACGAUCAUGCACGAAAGAGUGGGGAGCAAACAGG